UACUGGGCGUAAAGCGCGCGUAGGUGGCUAAGUCAGCCAGGUGUGAAAGCCCCGGGCUCAACCUGGGAACGGCAUCUGGAACUGCUUGGCUAGAGUGCAGGAGAGGAAGGUAGAAUUCCCGGUGUAGCGGUGAAAUGCGUAGAGAUCGGGAGGAAUACCAGUGGCGAAGGCGGCCUUCUGGACUGACACUGACACUGAGGUGCGAAAGCGUGGGUAGCAAACAGGAUUAGAUACCCUGG
This 239-nucleotide ribosomal RNA is filed under the name uncultured Cafeteria. Its description in RNAcentral is "sp. partial Bacterial small subunit ribosomal RNA". It matches the Rfam family "Bacterial small subunit ribosomal RNA", at positions 552 to 790 of the family's 1533-position model. The record is from RNAcentral. Lineage: Eukaryota; Bigyra; Bicosoecida; Cafeteriaceae.